ACGAACGCUGGCGGCAUGCCUAACACAUGCAAGUCGAACGAGACCUUCGGGUCUAGUGGCGCACGGGUGCGUUACGCGUGGGAACCUGCCCUUAGGUUCGGAAUAACUCCCCGAAAGGGGUGCUAAUACCGGAUAAUGUCUUCGGACCAAAGAUUUAUCGCCUUUGGAUGGGCCCGCGUUGGAUUAGCUAGUUGGUAGGGUAAAAGCCUACCAAGGCGACGAUCCAUAGCUGGUCUGAGAGGAUGAUCAGCCACACUGGGACUGAGACACGGCCCAGACUCCUACGGGAGGCAGCAGUGGGGAAUAUUGGACAAUGGGCGAAAGCCUGAUCCAUCAAUGCCGCGUGAGUGAUGAAGGCCUUAGGGUUGUAAAGCUCUUUUACCCGGGAUGAUAAUGACAGUACCGGGAGAAUAAGCUCCGGCUAACUCCGUG
Molecule: ribosomal RNA, 432 nt
Filed under: uncultured bacterium
Lineage: Bacteria
Description: partial 16S ribosomal RNA
Rfam family: Bacterial small subunit ribosomal RNA
Source: RNAcentral